This 253-nucleotide ribosomal RNA is filed under the name uncultured bacterium. RNAcentral's name for it is "partial 16S ribosomal RNA". It matches the Rfam family "Bacterial small subunit ribosomal RNA", at positions 524 to 776 of the family's 1533-position model. The record is from RNAcentral.
UACGAAGGGGGCUAGCGUUGCUCGGAAUCACUGGGCGUAAAGCGCACGUAGGCGGCUUCUUAAGUCAGGGGUGAAAUCCUGGAGCUCAACUCCAGAACUGCCUUUGAUACUGAGAAGCUUGAGUCCGGGAGAGGUGAGUGGAACUGCGAGUGUAGAGGUGAAAUUCGUAGAUAUUAGGAAGAACACCAGUGGCGAAGGCGGCUCACUGGUCCGGUACUGACGCUGAGGUGCGAAAGCGUGGGGAGCAAACAGG